Schistosoma curassoni is the source of this 45-nucleotide non-coding RNA. The record is from Rfam. Lineage: Eukaryota; Metazoa; Platyhelminthes; Trematoda; Strigeidida; Schistosomatidae.
GUCCAUCUGACGAGUCCCAAAUAUGACGAAGUGCACGUCCUGGAU